GGGCAAUUAGCUCAGUUGGUAGAGCAUCUCGCUUACAACGAGGAUGUCAGCGGUUCGAGUCCGUUAUUGCCUA
This 73-nucleotide transfer RNA is filed under the name Nephroselmis olivacea. RNAcentral's name for it is "tRNA-Val". It matches the Rfam family "tRNA". From Rfam's summary of the family: Transfer RNA (tRNA) molecules are approximately 80 nucleotides in length. Their secondary structure includes four short double-helical elements and three loops (D, anti-codon, and T loops). Lineage: Eukaryota; Viridiplantae; Chlorophyta; Nephroselmidophyceae; Nephroselmidales; Nephroselmidaceae. The record is from RNAcentral.